This 209-nucleotide unclassified non-coding RNA is filed under the name Hevea brasiliensis (rubber tree). Lineage: Eukaryota; Viridiplantae; Streptophyta; Magnoliopsida; Malpighiales; Euphorbiaceae. The record is from RNAcentral.
GUUUCUUGUCAAUUUCAGCCUAUCAUUAUUCAGGAUGCAUUCAAAUAUCUUUUUAUUCGAAUAUUUGUUAAGUGUAGAAUGAAUUACGUAAGAUUAAUCUUUCAAAGAAAAAAUUUCUUUUUUUGUGAUUAUUUUAUGUCAUGAAAAACAGAGAACCUGCAUCUCCCUAGAGGCAACCAAUAUGAAAAAUUAAAUAUGCAGAAAAGAAU